GGAGGAGCCUGCUCUCCCAUUGCCUGCUGGAGGACCCCCUGGCGGCAAGGAAGUGAAGAGGAGGGAAGAACAACGGAAGGGCCACAUAGUGAAAUGGGCCAGGGAUGAUUAUUUUAACUCUGGCCCCUCCAUCUACCUCCAGGACAUCGGGAAAGUGGCCCAGGUCUAGGUACACCCAGAAGCUGCCGGGGAUCCUCCGGGAGCUGCGGGAGCUGCUCUGAUUCACAAAAGCAGGACAUCGGGAGGCAGCGGCCCUUUUAACUGGUCCUCCAGCCAUGGCUCCGGUGACAGAGGCAUCCCUCCGCUGCUGCUACGGCGACUCAGGACUGCCUGCCGGGAGCCUGAGGGCCCUGCCCUGCCUCUUUCCACUGACAGGCUUCACAUGGACUGCUAUGUAGACAUGCGUAACUGGCUGUUAUAACAGAAUAUACAAAAACUUGUUCAAAACUUGGUUCAAUGAAUUUAUCAAACCAACAGGAUCAACAUAAAUCAACAGAAAAGGGACACCCCCAUGUUCAAAAUAUCAACAAGGAUUCAGUCCAAAAUCAAUGAAGCGUUCAUGAAGUAAUUCAUGUGGAGAUAAGUCAAUUCAAAAGUACUUUCGAAGCAGAAAUAAUAUUAGAAUUCCACAAGAGGAGGUGUACAUCAGGUGUAGAGGUGACAACAAUCUAUCCAAUUGGCAAACAGGCCUACAACUCCCGUGGUCCCUAGCUAACAGGACCAGUGGUCAGGGAUGAUGGGAAUUGUAGUCCAAAACAUCUGGAGGGCCGCAGUUUGGGGGUGCCUUCAUUUGGCAUUACACCUAGAGCUUUGAGUUGAUGUUUCUAUCUUUGCAAGCCUAACUGGGGCGAAAUAAGGGACGUAACCCGGGAACCUUGUCUAUGGACAUUGGCUUGCCACGCCUGUUUGCCAAUUGGAUAGAUUGUUGUCACCUCUACACCUGAUGUACACCUCCUCUUGUGGAAUUCUAAUAUUAUUUCUGCUUCGAAAGUACUUUUGAAUUGACUUAUCUCCACAAGAAUUACUUCAUGAACACUUCAUUGAUUUUGGACUGAAUCCUUGUUGAUAUUUUGAACAUGGUGGUGUCCCUUUUCUGUUGAUUUAUGUUGAUCUUGUUGGUUUGAUAAAUUCAUUGAACCAAGUUUUGAAUAAGAUAGUUUAUAAUUAUAUUUAAUUUAAUAGUUUAUAAAUUAUAUGUUAUCUUUUAUAUUUUAAAUUUGAAUUGAGGUUGCAUUUUAAAUUUUUAUACUGUAUUUUAUCUGUAUUUGAAUUAAUUGUUUUUAUGUUUUAUUGUAAUUUUGUUGGUGUGAGAUGCCUUGAGCCUGGUUUUGACUGGGGAGGGCGGGGUAUAAAUAAAAAUUUAUUAUUAUUAAAUU
Long non-coding RNA from Zootoca vivipara (common lizard), 1376 nucleotides. RefSeq lists it as uncharacterized. NCBI's taxonomy places the organism in Eukaryota, Metazoa, Chordata, Lepidosauria, Squamata, Lacertidae. The record is from RefSeq and is a predicted model, not a curated record.